UGUAUUUCUCAAAAAACCUAGCAGAGAAAUCUGAAUAAAUUUCAAGUCCACUCCUGGUGCUAACUCAGAGAUAAGCUCAUAUAGAUGCCAUAACAUUUAUGUAUCAUGCCUUCUUUUUCUUCUUACUGUAUCAAAUUACUUCUCAAUUUUUAUCUUACCAUUUAUUUUUCAUCUUUGAAAAAAUAUCUCUUUAUUUCUGACUCCUUCUCUCUCUCCCUUCUUCAAUCAGUUCUGACACUGAGUUUCAGGUCUGCAUGACUCCCUGUCUAUAAAAAACACCAUCUGCUAUGACAUGAAACUCAAAAAUUUAAGUGACUAAAAAAUAAAGCUGUAUUUCCCACUUACAACGAGUCUGAUAUGAAUAUCAUUUGUCAGAUGGCUCUCUUUGGUGGUUCUUCUCCAAGUAAUAAAUUCAAGGUUUCAUGCUUUUCCCAUUGUUUAUCUCGAGUAACAUAACAUCUUUAAUUGCCCGUCAUGCAGAACAAGACAGAGAGAGUGGGACAAAUCCAGGUUAAGAAAUGUAUCUUCUAUGUGCCAAGAGGGAAAAUUGAGUCCUUUAAUGGGCAUAGCAGCAUUUGUCUCCUUCACAUUAUCCAAUGAUUGAACUUGUUGAGAGAAGUCAGUUUCUCUGAGAAACAUAGAGGAAUAACAUAGCCUACAAAGAAUUUAAUAUAAAUGCCUAGAAACAGGAAGUGUUCAUGAAAUUCAAGAAAUACUAUUUUCAUUUUAUAACUAACCAGACACAGAGAAGCUAAGUAAUUGUCCCAUCAUCUCACAGCAGGUUAGCAGAAGAGCCAGAUUUUAAAAUGGUAGAGUUUAUCUCCAGUGUCCACAUCCUUUUUCUAAAAAGAUUUUGUAUAUUUAUUUGAGAGAGAGAGAGAGUAAGCACAACCAGGGGGACAGGCAGAGGAAGAGAGAAAUGAAGAAGCAGACUCUACUCUGAGCAGGGAACCCAAUGCAGGUCUUGAUCCCAGGCCCCUGGGAUCAUGACCUGAAUUGAAGGCAGACGCUUAACCAACAGAGCCAUCCAGGCACCACCUGUGCACACAUUCUUAAACAAUAGUCUUCAUUACCCUCCACUGGGCUUUUAUUCUGAAAUUUCAAGAUUUUUCUUUUGAUGCUAAUUGUUCUUAUGUAUUUAUAGUUAUAUUUGAACCAAAUCUUCAUGUUUUGGGAAAUAAAAAGGAGGGUAUAUUCUCAUUUCAACUUAGUCUGCCAAGUCUAAAUGGAAGGAGUAAAUUAUUUUUAACCACUAGAGAAAUUAAAACAAACAUGUAUAGAAAAAAUUACCUACUUAAUAGAUUCAAAUGAAGAAUGUAGCAAGUAAUAGCAUAAUGAUUUUAUACAUAAAUUAUACAUUUAAAAAAGAACACACCCAUACUGAUUAACCUUUUAAUAUAUAUAUAUUAAUCAAUGAGUUUUGAUGAAUAGAUUUUUAAACUUUCAUAAAUA
Molecule: long non-coding RNA, 1452 nt
Filed under: Canis lupus familiaris (dog)
Lineage: Eukaryota; Metazoa; Chordata; Mammalia; Carnivora; Canidae
Description: lncRNA (ENSCAFG00040010400.1)
Source: RNAcentral